GACAGAGGUGCCGAGCGUUAGGCGGAAUCACUGGGCUUAAAGCGUGUGUAGGCGGGACCGUAAGUACCUUGUGAAAUCCCACGGCUCAACCGUGGAACGGCUGGGUAUACUGCGGUUCUUGAGCCACCUAGGGGCAACCGGAACAAAUGGUGGAGCGGUGAAAUGCGUAGAUAUCAUUUGGAACGCCAAUGGUGAAAACAGGUUGCUGGGGGUGUGCUGACGCUGAGACACGAAAGCCAGGGGAGCGAACGGG
This 253-nucleotide ribosomal RNA is filed under the name uncultured bacterium. RNAcentral describes it as "partial 16S ribosomal RNA". It matches the Rfam family "Bacterial small subunit ribosomal RNA", at positions 524 to 776 of the family's 1533-position model. The record is from RNAcentral.